RNAcentral lists this long non-coding RNA (334 nucleotides) under Musa acuminata (dwarf banana). Its description in RNAcentral is "long non-coding RNA (MACU_LNC002058)". Lineage: Eukaryota; Viridiplantae; Streptophyta; Magnoliopsida; Zingiberales; Musaceae. The record is from RNAcentral.
UCUACCACCUCGUUCACCACCAUCAGCUAAUUUGAAAAGUCCACCACCACCUCAUCCACCAUCUCCUCUGCCACCUCCACCUCCUCCACCACCUCCACCACCUCAUCCACCAUCUCCUCUGCCACCUCCACCUCCUCCACCACCUCAUCCACCAUCUCCUCUGCCACCUCCACCUCCUCCACCACCUCCACCACCUCAGUCACAUCCAAUAUCAUCAUCUUCUUCUUUGAUUAUAUCUCUCUCAGUUGGAGGAGUAGUUUGUUUUCUGAUUGUCCUUUCUGUUAUAUACUUGUACCAUAAACAAACAAAAAAGGUUGUCAGUGUAAUGCCCUUG